GACGAACGCUGGCGGUGUGCUUAACACAUGCAAGUCGAACGGUAAGGCCCUUUCGGGGGUACACGAGUGGCGAACGGGUGAGUAACACGUGAGUAACCUGCCCUCAUCUCUGGGAUAACAGUCGGAAACGGUUGCUAAUACUGGAUAUGAGCUUGCAAGGCAUCUUGUGGGUUGGAAAGAUUUUUUUUGGUUGGGGAUGGACUCGCGGCCUAUCAGCUUGUUGGUGAGGUAGUGGCUCACCAAGGCUUCGACGGGUAGCCGGCCUGAGAGGGCGACCGGCCACAUUGGGACUGAGAUACGGCCCAAACUCCUACGGGAGGCAGCAGUGGGGAAUAUUGCACAAUGGACGGAAGUCUGAUGCAGCAACGCCGCGUGCGGGAUGAAGGCCUUCGGGUUGUAAACCGCUUUCAAUUGUGACGAAGCUUUUUUGUGACGGUAGCAGUAGAAGAAGCACCGGCUAACUACGUG
This 468-nucleotide ribosomal RNA is filed under the name uncultured bacterium. Its description in RNAcentral is "partial 16S ribosomal RNA". It matches the Rfam family "Bacterial small subunit ribosomal RNA", at positions 28 to 507 of the family's 1533-position model. The record is from RNAcentral.